RNAcentral lists this microRNA precursor (87 nucleotides) under Myotis lucifugus (little brown bat). RNAcentral describes it as "miRNA (ENSMLUG00000024295.1)". The record is from RNAcentral. Lineage: Eukaryota; Metazoa; Chordata; Mammalia; Chiroptera; Vespertilionidae.
AUAUAUACUAGUCUAUAUGUGUGUGUGUGUGUGUAUGUGUAUAUAUAUACAUACACAUACACACACACACAUAGACUAGUAUAUAUA